AUUGAACGCUGGCGGAAUGCUUUACACAUGCAAGUCGAACGGCAGCACGGGGGCAGCCCUGGUGGCGAGUGGCGAACGGGUGAGUAAUACAUCGGAACGUGCCCGGUCGUGGGGGAUAACGUAGCGAAAGUUACGCUAAUACCGCAUACGAUCUGAGGAUGAAAGCGGGGGACCUUCGGGCCUCGCGCGAUCGGAGCGGCCGAUGUCAGAUUAGGUAGUUGGUGGGGUAAAGGCCUACCAAGCCGACGAUCUGUAGCUGGUCUGAGAGGACGACCAGCCACACUGGGACUGGGACACGGCCCAGACUCCUACGGGAGGCAGCAGUGGGGAAUUUUGGACAAUGGGCGCAAGCCUGAUCCAGCCAUUCCGCGUGCAGGACGAAGGCCUUCGGGUUGUAAACUGCUUUUGUACGGAACGAAAAGGCUCUGGCUAAUACCUGGGGCUCAUGACGGUACCGGAAGAAUAAGCACCGGCUAACUACGUG
This 484-nucleotide ribosomal RNA is filed under the name uncultured bacterium. RNAcentral describes it as "partial 16S ribosomal RNA". It matches the Rfam family "Bacterial small subunit ribosomal RNA", at positions 29 to 507 of the family's 1533-position model. The record is from RNAcentral.